GCUGGGCGCUGUGAUGCUCACCUGUAAUCCCAGUGGCUUGGGAGGCUGAGGCAGGAGGAUCAAGAGUUCAAAGCCAGCCUCAGCAACAGCGAGGUGCUAAGUAACUCAGUGAGCUCCUGUCUCUA
RNAcentral lists this small RNA (125 nucleotides) under Marmota monax (woodchuck). The record is from RNAcentral. Lineage: Eukaryota; Metazoa; Chordata; Mammalia; Rodentia; Sciuridae.